This 635-nucleotide ribosomal RNA is filed under the name Neophysopella meliosmae-myrianthae. RNAcentral describes it as "partial large subunit ribosomal RNA". It matches the Rfam family "Eukaryotic large subunit ribosomal RNA", at positions 15 to 636 of the family's 3401-position model. The record is from RNAcentral. Lineage: Eukaryota; Fungi; Basidiomycota; Pucciniomycetes; Pucciniales; Crossopsoraceae.
AGUGGGACUACCCGCUGAACUUAAGCAUAUCAAUAAGCGGAGGAAAAGAAACUAACAAGGAUUCCCCCAGUAACGGCGAGUGAAGAGGGAAAAGCCCAAAUUUGUAAUCUGGCUCUUUUAGAGUCCGAGUUGUAAUUUUGAGAACUGUUUUCUGUGCUGGACCAUGUUUAAGUCUGUUGAAAAACAGCAUCAUUGAGGGUGAUAAUCCCGUUCAUGAUAUGGACUACCAGUGCUCUAUGAUACAGUCUCUAAGAGUCGAGUUGUUUGGGAAUGCAGCUCAAAGUGGGUGGUAAAUUCCAUCUAAGGCUAAAUAUAGGUGGGAGACCGAUAGCAAACAAGUACCGUGAGGGAAAGAUGAAAAGAACUUUGGAAAGAGAGUUAACAGUACGUGAAAUUGCUGAAAGGGAAACAAUUGAAGUUAGCCUUGUUAUUUCCAGUUCAACCCUUUUAGGGUGUAUUCUGGUGAUUAACGACCAACAUCAGUCUUUGAGUGCUGGAUAAGGGUUUUGGAAAUGUAGCAGUCUAGGCUGUGUUAUAGUCCAUUACUUUGAUACAAUGCUUAGGAUUGAGGAUCGCAGUAAGCCAAUCUUGGUGGAUCAAUUUAUUGGUCUUCUUACUGAGGAUGUUGGUGAAUA